Non-coding RNA from Equus caballus (horse), 966 nucleotides. Lineage: Eukaryota; Metazoa; Chordata; Mammalia; Perissodactyla; Equidae. The record is from RefSeq and is a predicted model, not a curated record.
GUUGUGGGUCCCUGUGUGGCGUGAGGCGGGCUCGAGGAGGUCCCCGCGCCCGGAAGCCGGCCCGGCCUGUGUGCGGUGGACGCUGUGGACCCGCCUGCGGAAGGCGGCGGCCUGGGGUGGCGGGGAUGGGGGACUGUGAGGCUGCGCAGGAGCGGGCGGGUCGCUGACGGCUGGUGGGGACGUGGCGUCCGGGGAAGGCUAACCCGCGAGCGCGGGCGGGACCCCAAGCAGUCCCCUGUCUCCUCCGUUCUCCCCGCGCCCCCUGCGGAUUCUGAGCUGCUGUCGCGCCUGUUCCUCACCACGUGUGGCAUCUAUGAGUGAUGCCGAUGCUGCCUCUUUCCUGAGCAUAGAGAAAAACGAAAUGGGAGGAGAGGGGUUUUCUGUGCUGGACGCUUUCGGAAGCCCAAAGACAGCAGGCCUGUAAUGAACGGGGUUUGUCGAGUCACCCAGGGCAGACCCAGGAACUAAGCGCACAGCUGUUGACUUACACGGUCAGAAGAGGAUAGACGUUAACUCAUCAAGAAAAAGCAGUGUACCUUACUCAGUGAAAAUGCAAGGUUAAGCCCAGAGAGUCAUAUCCGAGCUGAACCUUCACAGUUCUUUACCUUCUUCCAGGAGUAGCAGAAAAUGAACAUAGCUCAGGGAUUGGUGUCGUUCGAAGACGUGACUGUGGAGUUCACCCAGGAGGAGUGGCGGCAGAUGGACUCCACACAGAGGGCCCUGUACAAAGAUGUGAUGCUGGAGAACUACGGCCACCUGGUCUCCAUGGGAUACUGCAGUACUAAACCCCGGGUGAUUUUCAAGUUGGAGCAAGGAGAAGAGCCCUGGUCCUUAGAGGAAGAAUUCCUAAACCAGAGGUACCCAGGUGAGUGAGCCCUGACAGAAACACCUGGGGUAGUUAGACCUUAGAGGGGAACACUUUCGAAAGUUUUUUUUUUUUCCCCCUUUUACACAGCUUUAUUGAGA